Clupea harengus (Atlantic herring) is the source of this 1105-nucleotide long non-coding RNA. The record is from Ensembl. NCBI's taxonomy places the organism in Eukaryota, Metazoa, Chordata, Actinopteri, Clupeiformes, Clupeidae.
UCCACAAGAGGCGGGGCGAAGGUGGGUGUGUGUGUGCGUGUGUGAGUGUGCGCGUGUGUGUGUGAGGAAGAGAGUGUGUGUAUAUGUGUGUGACACAGCUGAUGCACGCAGCCCUUUCAAGCUACCUCCAUCACCCCCCAUCUCCGCUCCGGGCGACAGCGGCAGCGGCUCCUCAGACCAGCCCUGCGACCCACGGACCACACCGGACAUUGUACAGGAAGCGAUCGGACCAGCGGUCGCGGAAAGUCAGCCAGCCAGAACUGCACGGCGCUGCUGCUGAUAUGUGCGUGUCUGCUGCUUGGUGUGGUGACACCACCCCCCAGGUCCUGUGUGGCGUGUGGGUAGCAGAGUGAGGGCACCGCCCCGCCCGGCAUGGGCAGUGCUGGCAGCGGGGUAGCCAAUCACCAGUCAACAUUCGCUAUGCGCAGCGUGGGCACUCGCACCACCACCAUCACCGCCACCGCCGGUGCCCCCAACACUCAGGGCAGCGGCCUGUCACGCGGCCCAUCCCUGCCCCCCGGCACCUCCACUCGCCGUCGCCUCGAUGACCGUAGCUACAGCGCCGAGCGACCCCCCCACCCGGCCAACGCCUUGGGCCCUCCCAAGACUGGGGGCCCGCCGGGCGACGAGCGCAGUUACGGCAACGCAGAGAGCUCGUAUUACGGAGGGGGCACGGAAAAACCGCCACCACAGCCAGAUGGCGCAGAGCGCUUGGCCACACACACCAAUGCCAACCGGCACCUGACCAACGGGGAGCGGAUGGUGGCCAACACCGCCUUCCUGAACGGGUUGGUGCGGCGUGACGGACACCAUGACCGCGGGCGGACGUCAGAGGCCAUGUCUGGGCCGGGCUCGAUGGGGGUGGACAUCUGUGGUAACAGCGUGGCCCUCAAUAAUGACAAGAACAGCAGCCUUCAGAUGACAACACACUUCAAGGACAACCCCAACGCCAAGCUGGACAACCACAAAAACCCCCCAAACAUCCUGCCUGUCUCUGGGAAACUGGAGCAGAAUGAUGGCCUGGUCCGUCCUUCAGCUUUCAAACCGGUAGUGCCCAAGAGUUUUCACUCAAUGCAGAACCUGGUGUCCCCCGCCCAAAAGGGAC